AUUUGGGGAUAUAAAGAGCGCGUUCCAACCACAUAAUCUCCGAAGGCCAGACUUUUAAAAUUUCUCCAAUCUUUGGACCAAACACCAAAUUAGCCACGUUUCACUACCAUAUUUGGCUAGCUUGAAAACCAACCACAAUGAAUAAUUUCUUGCACCAAGAUUUUUGCGGUAGUCACUUGGUGAUACAAAGAGUGCACUCCAACCAUUAAAUCUCAAAAACCAAGAAUUUGAAAAUUUCCCAAAUCUUAGCACCAAGGAAAAACUUAGCCAAGUCUCACCACCUAAUUUAGCUCGCUUGAAAACAAACCAAAAUGAAAAAUUUCUUCCACGAGCUUUUUAUAGUAGCCAUUUUGUGAUAUAAAGAAUGUAUUCCAACAAUCAAAUCUAAAAAACCCAGACUCUGAAAAUUUCACAAAUCUUGACACCAAGGACAAACUUAGCCAAGUCUCACCACCUAACUUAGCUCGCUUGAAAACCCGAAAAUGAAAAAUUUCUUGAACGAGCUUUUUACAGUACCCAUUUGGUGAUAUAAAGAGUGCAUUCCAACAAUCAAAUCUGAAAAACGCAGACAUUGAAAAUUUCAGAAAUCUUGGCACCAAGGACAAACUUAGUCAAGUCUGACCACCUAACUUAGAAAGCUUCAAAAGCAACUAAAAUCAAACAUUUCUUGCACAAGGAUUUUUAAGGUAGUCAUUUGGGGAUAUAAAGAGUGCUUUCCAACCACAUAAUCUCAAAAUGCCAGACUUUGAAAAUUUCUCCAAUCUUUGCACCAAACACCAAAUUAGCCAAGUCUCACCACAAUAUUUGGCUAGCUUGAAAACCAACCACAAUGAAUAAUUUCUUGCACGAAGAUUUUUGUGGUAGUCACUUGGUGAUACAAAGAGUGCAGUCCAACCGUUAAAUCUCAAAAACCAAGAAUUUCAAAAUUUCCCAAAUCUUGGCCCACCAAGGAAAAACUUAGCCAAGUCUCACCACCUAACUUAGCUCGCUUGAAAACAAACAAAAAUGAAAAAUUUCUUCCAAGAGCUUUUUAUAGUAGCCAUUUGGUGAUAUAAAGAGUGCAUUCCAACAAUCAAAUCUGAAAAACCCAGACUCUGAAAAUUUCACAAAUCUUGACAACAAAGACCAACUUAGCCAACUCUCACCACCUAACUUAGCUCGCUUGAAAACCAACCAAAAUGAAAAAUUUCUUGAACGAGCUUUUUAUAGUACCCAUUUGGUUAUAUAAAGAGUGCAUUCCAACAAUCAAAUCUGAAAAACGAAGAGUUUGAAAAUUUCAGAAAUCUUGGCGCCAAGGACAAACUUAGUCAAGUCUCAACACCUAACUUAGCUAGCUUCAAAAGCAACUAAAAUGAAACAUUUGUUGCACAAGGAUUUUUAAGGUAGUCAUUUGAGGAUAUAAAGAGUGUGUUCCAACCAAUAAUCUCAGAAGGCCAGACUUUGAAAAU
This 1448-nucleotide long non-coding RNA is filed under the name Vigna radiata. RNAcentral describes it as "long non-coding RNA (VRAD_LNC017803)". The record is from RNAcentral. Lineage: Eukaryota; Viridiplantae; Streptophyta; Magnoliopsida; Fabales; Fabaceae.